AUUGAACGCUGGCGGCAUGCUUUACACAUGCAAGUCGAACGGCAGCGCGGGCUUCGGCCUGGCGGCGAGUGGCGAACGGGUGAGUAAUGCAUCGGUACGUGCCCAGUAGUGGGGGAUAGCCCGGCGAAAGCCGGAUUAAUACCGCAUACGACCUGCGGGUGAAAGCGGGGGACCGAAAGGCCUCGCGCUAUUGGAGCGGCCGAUGUCGGAUUUGCGAGUUGGUGGGGUAAAGGCUUACCACGGCGACGAUCCGUAGCUGGUCUGAGAGGACGACCAGCCACACUGGGACUGAGACGCGGCCCAGACUCCGACGGGAGGCAGCAGUGGGGAAGUUUGGACAAUGGGGGCAACCCUGAUCCAGCCAUGCCGCGUGCGGGAAGAAGGCCUGCGGGUUGUAAACCGCUUUUGUUCGGGAAGAAAGCCCCUGGGCUAAUACCCCGGGGGGAUGACGGUACCGGAAGAAUAAGCACCGGCUAACUACGUG
This 484-nucleotide ribosomal RNA is filed under the name uncultured bacterium. Its description in RNAcentral is "partial 16S ribosomal RNA". It matches the Rfam family "Bacterial small subunit ribosomal RNA", at positions 28 to 507 of the family's 1533-position model. The record is from RNAcentral.